RNAcentral lists this unclassified non-coding RNA (3588 nucleotides) under Diabrotica virgifera virgifera (western corn rootworm). RNAcentral's name for it is "uncharacterized LOC114327560". Lineage: Eukaryota; Metazoa; Arthropoda; Insecta; Coleoptera; Chrysomelidae. The record is from RNAcentral.
UUAAGGUGACCCUACCAAUAACGCAACGUUUUGCUGUUAUAUGAAGACCGGUCAUGCGGUAGAGAAUUCUCAGUAAUAAAAUAAAUUCAACAUUAGAACAUUAUCAGUAUUGUUCGUUAAUGCAGAGAAACGAUUAAUUUGUGCGAAACAAACGUUUGCGUUUGGACAGUCGGGAUUAUGGAACUACACGAGGAUUUGACUAUAUUUGUAAAUGGGCAAUUUCAUAAGGUUCUGGCAAAUGAAUUAUCACCUACUACCACCUUAAACAGUUUCUUAAGGAACCAUCUACAUUUAACAGGCACUAAACGAAUGUGCUUAGAAGGAGGUUGUGGAGCGUGCCUUGUUGCUGUCAAACGGCAGAAUGCAGUAACCAAGGAAGAUGAAAUAGUCGCUGUCAAUUCUUGUUUGGUUUCCAUUUUUUCAACAGUUGGCUGGGAAAUAUACACAAUAGAAGGCCUUGGAGACACAACGAAUCCAAAUAAGUUGCAACAAGUAAUUGCCAAGUUCUACGGCACGCAAUGCGGAUAUUGUACGCCUGGUAUGAUAAUGAAUAUGUUUGCUUUAAAACAAAACACGAAAGAUGUUACGAUGGAAACUGUGGAAAAUUCAUUUGGCGGGAAUAUAUGUAGAUGUACUGGCUACAGGCCAAUUUUAGAAGCCUUUAAGUCAGUUUGCCAAGACGCGUCUCCAGAUUUAGCUAAAAAAUGUGGAGAUAUCGAAGACAUGCCUGUGUGCAAAAUGAAACUGAAAUAUCCUGAUAUUAUUUGCACGCCACAUUUAGCAUCCCCAUUUUAUUAUAAACUAGGAGGAUUAUCUUGGAUUAAAGUCACCUUGUUGAACGAUUUAAUACAAAUAAUAAAGACAUUCGAAUCAACUAAGAAUGGCAAUCCGAAUUAUUAUACCAUAGUAGCUGGAAAUACAUCAAAAGGAGUAUAUAAAAAAGAAACUGUAUACAACGUUUACGUAGAUAUACAGGAUGUUCGUGAAUUAAAAUCUAUCAGAUUAGUUGAAAAUGGAUUAAACGUAGGUGCCAACAUUACAUUAACUACAGCAAUCAGUACAUUUAAAAAAAUGUCACAAAAUAUACCACAACUAAAAUAUUUGAAGAAACUAGCCGAACAUAUUGAGUUGGUAGCAAAUGUACCCGUAAGAAAUAUAGGAACGUUAGCUGGAAACUUAAUGAUUAAACACAAGAAUAACGAGUUCCCAUCAGAUAUAUUUCUGCUUUUAGAAACUGUUAACGCGACAUUACAAAUAAUUGAUACAGAAGAAAAUAAAAAACUUGUCAAACCAAGGGAGUUUUUAAAAAUAAAUAUGGAGAACAAGAUUAUCAAGAGUAUUCUUUUGCCGAACCAGUCAAAAAAUUAUUAUUUUGAAAGUUUUAAGAUAAUGAAACGUUCUCAAAAUACUCAUGCUAGCAUUAAUACAGCAUUUUUACUGAAAAUUUCUGAUCAAAAUCUGGUAGAAGACGCAAAUAUAGUAAUUGGUACACUAGGCUCAAAAAUCCAUGCCUCGAAUACUGAAAACCUUAUUAGAGGCAAAAAUAUUUUUGACAAUGACAUCUUACAGCAAGUAUUCAAAAGUCUGGACGGUGAACUAAAUCCCGAAGAUAAUUUAAUGCACCCUUCGCCAGAAUAUUCGAAAAAGUGUACUAUUAGUUUAUUUUAUAAAUAUAUUCUUAGUAUUGCACCUCAAAAUUUACUGACUUUAAGUCACGUCUCAGGAAAAUCUAAAUUGAAACGACCUAUCUCCAAGAGUAAACAGGAAUAUGAAAUAAAAGAAGACAUGUAUCCGAUUUCUUAUCCAGUUACAAAAAAAGAAGCGAUGCUGCAAACUACUGGUGAAGCAGAGUAUAUCUCAGACAUGCCAGACUUAGUAGGCCAGCUACAUGCAGCUUUUGUACUUGCUAAAGCUAAGCCAUUGUCAAGAGUUAUAAAAGUAGAUGCCCAAAAGGCUAUGAAAUUGGACGGAGUAGUGGCAUUUUUUGACAAGAAUGACAUCCCCGGUCGGAACACCUUCACCCCCAUAGAGGCAGAAUUUCUAACAUUCUAUCACGUAGAAGAAGAGCUCUUUUGUGGCGGAGUUGUGCAGUAUGACCGUCAACCAAUAGGAGUAAUAGUGGCCACAUCGCAGGACCUAGCCGAAAAGGCUGCAGAGUUGGUGGAAGUAGCUUACGAAACAACGAAUGAAAAGAAUCUUCAUAGUAUUAAAGAUGUGUUGAAAAACAACGCGAAGGAAAGGAUAAAAGAAGAUUCUAAGGAAGAGCCGAUACAAAAAGUGGUAAAUACAGAACAUAUCGUUAAUGGCAAGGUAGAGCUAGGUUGGCAGGCUCAUUUUUACAUGGAAACGCAAUGUUGUAAUGUUGUUUACAAAGAUGAUGGAUUAGACAUGUAUUCUAGUACUCAGUGGAUGGAUGGUGUCCAAACAGCAGCAUCUGUAGCGUUAAAAAUUCCUGCUAAUAAAAUAAAUGUUAUUGUCAAACGUCUAGGAGGUGGUUUUGGCGGGAAAAUCGUAAGACAUAAUAUAGUUUCAACUGCUACAGCGCUGGCGGCUUAUAAGCUUAAGAAACCAGUUAAGAUGUGGCUUCCCAUAGAAAAAAAUUUCGCGAUUAUUGGUAAGAGAAAUCCUGUACUAAGCAACUACGAAGUGGGUACGGAUAGAGAUGGAAAUAUUCAGUUCGUCAAUAAUAACUUUUUUAUCGACCAUGGAAAAGGAGGAAACGAGGAUUUGAUUCCCUAUACAAUUUUAGCCUUAACAACAACUUAUUCUUCAAAACAGAGGUCCACGUCAUCAAAUACGGUGACAACAGAUAUGCAUGCUAGUUGCUACAUCAGAGCACCAGGAAUGCUUGAGGGUGUGGCUAUAGUCGAAUCAAUCAUGGAAAAUACAGCAAUGGAAAUAGGUAUGGAUGCUUUGGAGUUCAAAAUUAAAAACAUUGACAAGACGGAUCCCAAAAUCUUAGAAUAUUUAUUAGAAUUGAAGCAAUGGGCUGACAUUGAUACAAGGAAAGAAGAAAUCGAAAAAUUUAAUAAGAGUAAUAUUUGGCGUAAGAAAGGAAUUUCCGUAGUCCCGAUAAAAUUCCCGAUGGAGAUAUAUUUUAAUUAUGGGGUAUUAGUCUCCAUAUAUCACAGUGAUGGAAGCGUGGCAAUAUCUCAUGGCGGAGUUGAAAUAGGUCAAGGAGUAAACACUAAGGCGAUUCAAACUUGUGCAUACAAACUGGGCAUACCGAUGGAAAAGAUUACAGUUAAACCAAGUAACAAUUUGAUAGGAGCAAAUUCGGGAAUUACAGGAGCUAGUUUGGCCAGUGAAGGAGUUUGUUGGGCUGUUUCAGAAUGUUGUGAGAUUCUUCUGGAGAGGAUGAAACCUAUCAAAGAAUCUAUGUCGAAUCCAACUUGGGAGGAACUUGUUAAAACAAGCCACAGAGAAUGUGUAAAUUUGGUAGCUAAUAUGAUGUGUUGGUGAACCUGCAAUUUGUAUUGGUGUUGCUGUACCAUUAGCAAUUAGAAAUGCUGUGGCUUCUGUUCGAAAAUAUUUCGAUAAAGAAGCUUCUGCUUGGUAUCCAUUUGUUGGGCCGUCAACUGUUGACAA